CCUGAGGAGAGAGGGCAGGGGUCUCACCUGAGCUGCCGGGGCAGAGCCAGCAACAAUCUGACAGCCACUGCCAACACCCGGCACUUGGUGUGCUGAGAGCUCUGUCACCCCACAUUUACUCAAACGUCCCCUUGUUGUUUUUUGUUUGUUUUUUGUUUUUUUCGAGACAGGGUUUCUCUAUAUAGCCCUGGCUAUUCUGGAACUCAACUCUGUAGACCAGGCUGUCCUCGAACUCAGAAAUUCGUCUGCCUCUGCCUCCCAGGUGCUGUUUUUGAUUUUUUGGUCAAACGUUCCCUUAACAUUCUCUCUCAUCCCAGGACCUGUGUACGGACCGACCCCGUCCAGACUGUUCUUGUCCCUACACCCUGUACUGCCCCCCUCCUGGCCUUCCUAGGUCUAUAUGCAGAAGGUCCCUCAGGGCUGACCUCAUGCCACCCUACUACAGAUGCUAUGAUGACUGCCUACCACCUGGCUGGUCCAGCAGUUGCCAGAAAGGAAGGCUGUCAGCUUUGUUUUUGAUCCAGAGAACACACAUGCAGUGGUCACUCAGACCUCACAGCCCUAACUUCAUGCCUUCCCAGGUGGCUCUCCCCAUUAUCUGAGUUAUGGCGGCAAUCACUCACAGGGAGGGAGACUGGCGCGCAGGAGGCUAUUUCAGACGCCAGGCCUGGGAAACUGAUGCCUGGGCACCACUGUCACAGGAGCGUCAGUGGCUUUGCUACUCCAUGCAUGCCUGACAAGCGCUCUAGCGACCCAAGCCGGGGACGGAACCCAGGGUCUCUCUCAGGCAAGCACGAUGCUGGCCGUGCAGGCAACACUCCUCCUCCUCCUGCUUUUGAGACAGGCCUUCCAUGAAGUUGUGUUCCUCCUGCCUCCCAAGGAGCCAUAACAAUAGGCCUGUGACACUUUUCCUUCCUCUUCUAUUUUUGGUUUUCUGAGACAGGGUUUCUCUGUAUACUCCGACUGUCCUGGAACUCACUCUGUAGACCAGGCUGGCCUCGAACUCAGAAAUCUGCCUGCCUCUGCCUCCCAAGUGCUGGGAUUAAAGGCAUGUGCCACCACUGCCCAGCUUUUUUUGGGGGGGGGGCACUUUUCCUUCUGUCUGCUCAGAUUAGGAAGCUGUCUGUCCAGCACAGAGCAGGGACACUGUGUAACUAACCUAAGAAUGGUUGUAGAUGACAACAGCUCACUGGGGAUUUUCUGCACCACACAGACUUUUUUUUUUUUUUCCAGAAUAAAGUCUCCUAUAGCCCAGGGUAGCAUUCAAUUCCCUAUUCAGCUGAAGAUGAGCUGAAUUCCUGAUCCUCUCGCAUCUUGCUCACCAAUGCUGUAAGGAGUUACCGCUUGAGCCAUGAGUCACACCCAGUUCAUGAAGCACUAGGAAAAGCUCCAACAACUGAGCUGGGCCUCAGCCCAUCACCUGGACAUGUCCUCCUGUGUGUGUCAUGUGCAACACACUGAGGAGAACCAAGAGGCCUUCAUGGGGAAGAUGAUGUUUACUUCUGUGAGACAAGUGCUUUUACUAAACCUGGAGCCAGCAAGCCCCAGCCUCCUCCUCUUUGCACACCUAGUGCUGAAGUCCCAGGCACUCACAGCACCCAUGGGUGCGCAGGUGCGUAAGUACUCUUCCCCACAGAGCACUCUCUCCAGGCUCACUGGAGAUCCUUCAUGACUCUUUCUCAUGUUUCUGUCCACUGCACGAACAGAAAGUCCCAGAAAGCAGCUUUGUGGAAUACAAUUCUGAAUUCCCCCGUAGCUCUAGUGCAGAAUGGGGCCAGUCUGAACACUGUAUGAGGAACUGCUGUGUUCAAGCUUUGCUCUGCCUUUGAACACACUGCUUCUCCUCUGCGUUCCCGAUCCCCAUCUGUCUGAGGAAUGAUGAGUGUUACUCUUGGGGAGGGUGGCACAGUUGUGGCCCCAGUUUCCAGCCAAUUCAUGGACUGGCUCCCAGUCAACCUCACCAGGUCUGACUGCCUGAAUGAAGCACAGGCGGAGAGGCUGUGAGCAGGGAGUGUGGAACACUCGCACACACGCGCACGCGCGUGCGCGCGCGCACACACACACACACACACACACACUGCAUACCGAGAGCUCCAGACAGGGAAGGCGGCCUGAAGUCUGUCUUGUUAUAAGAAACAAACCUGGGAUUUUGGGGAUCCCCAAAGGAGCCUCUGUUUCCAGAGGAGGGUAAGUUCCCAGAAGCAACUCUGUGGCCCCUACCCUAUGGUGUCACGAGACAGAAAGCUUCCUGCCAGCAGGCCAGGGCCAAGUAAAUGAGUCACAGACAUCUAGGCUUGCCACAUCUGGAACUGUUUAUGUGUGAUUCUGCCCAGGAUCGGGUGGCUGCCAUCUCUCUCUCUCUCUCUUUCUCUCACACGCACGCACACACACACACACACACACACACACACACACACACACACACACACACGAGCAUACGCAUGCGCUUGCUCGCAAAGUAUGCAACUGCACAAGGACCUCCUUCUGCGGCACGGGCCAUCGACCCAAGCCCUCCUCCAGCCUGCUUUCGGAUUUCCUGAAAAUCUCAACUUUCUCCAGAUGUGAGCAAGUGGCCUUGGCCUUGCCACGUCAGAAGAGUUCAGGGUGCGUGGAUGAACUGAAUGGAGGAUCUUGGGAGGAGCAGACUCCCUGGCCUGUACCAUGGCCACGCUGAGGAACUGAACAGCCAUCCCCGCCAUCCCAGUGUUCAGACUACCUGUUCAGGAGGCUGGGACAUGUACAGUAGUCUGCACAUUGGUUAGGCUGGGCUUGGGCCAGCAGCAACAGUGGGAACUUCCAGACCACCUAAGAUGUACAUGUGUGGGCUGGUGAGAUGGCUCAACAGAUAAGAGCACCCGACUGUUCUUCUGAAGGUCCUGAGUUCAAUUCCCAGCAACCACAUGGUGGCUCACAACCAUCCCUAACAAGAUCUGGCGCCCUCUUCUGGAGUGUCUGAAGACAGCUACAGUGUACUUACAUAUAAUAAAUAAAUAAAUCUUUAAAAAAAAAAAAAAAAAAAAAAAGAUGUACAUGUGUAUGUAUGUCACUGUGUGUGCCUGCCUGCAUGAGCUUAUGUGCACCACACAUGUGAGGUGUGCAUGGAGGCCAGAGGGCACUGGAAGCCUGGAGUAGCAGGUGGUUGUGAGCUACCUGAUGUGGGUUCUGGGAACAGAACCCAGGUCCUCUGCAGAAGGACACAAAUAGCAACACACUUGGUUUCACCACCGGCUGGCUGCUCUGAGAUUCUGCCUACAGCUCAAACCAGCUGAGUUUCAAUUGGGAAACUCAAUUUAAAGUUGUUAAGUGAGCGUACAAGCCAGGGGCCCCAGUGGAGGCUAAGGUAGGAGGAGUCUGUGCCUAGGCUGGGCUACCUCAGGAGUUCAAGUAGCCUAAACAGAGACUAGGGAGCAGCAACAAAGCUUCAGUCAGUUGCUAGAAAGGCAGUGAGUGUUUGGAGGAGAUGGGCUCUUUAUUCUAGACUGGUAAGGACCCACACAGAUGCCCAUUUAGUGCUCUUCUGACACCACUCUCCCAGGGCUCGGCUUUUUAUCUUUAUUUUUUUUGGAGGGCACAGCAUUGUGCACACAGGGAUCUAACUAGUCAUGCAGCUUAGACAGCAAGCACCUUUACCUGCUAAAUCAUCUUACUGGCCUUUUUUUUUUUUUGAGGGAGGGAGGGUCUCCUGUGUUCCUGACUGGCUUCUACUUCAGAUAUAUAACCAAAGAUAACUUUGGACCAAUUGUGCUGUUUCUCUCUCUCUCUUCCAGUGGGCUAUCACACCCCUUUGAUUUGGUGCUAGACUUCAUGCAUGCUAAGCAAGUGCUCUACCAACUGUGCCACGGCAGCAGCCAUCACAGGGUGUUUCCUUUAGGCCCUGUCUAUAAUGAGCCAUCCUGAAGAAGGAUUUAUAAAUGUUAGGAGAGUGUUUUACCACCACGCUGCUCCUGAGCCAGCUUCAAAUCACAGCGCAUCUGACGUCAGACUCGCCUCUGGGAUCUCAUCAGUUCACAUGCACGCACACCCACGUGACAACAUGUGUGUAUGUUAUACAGAUACUCUCACAGCUGCACUCCGAGUUCAAGCCAGCAUCAGCCCAUGUGUGGCUUUCUUUUCUUUCCUCCUUUUUUUUUGAGACAGGAUUUCUCUGUGUAGCCCUGGCUAUCCUUGAACUCAGAGAUCCGCCUGCCUCUGCCUCCCAAGUGCUGGGAUUAAUGAUGUGCACCAACAUGCUUGGCUUAUGUGUGGCUCUGUUUUCAAACAUACUAAUGUAAAAUUAAGAGUAUGGCUGAGGGCUGGAGAGAGGGCCUGAGUUCAAUUCUCAGUUCUCACAUGGUGGCUCCCACCUGUCUCGAACUCUGGUUCCAAGGGAUAGAUGCUCUCUUCUGGCCUCUACAAGCACCUGAUAUGCAUGUAGCACACACACAUUACAUGCAGACAAAAUAUUCAUUCCCAUAUGGGUCUUCUCUGUGUAGCUCUGGCUAUACUGGAACUUGCUCUGUAGACCAUAUACCUACAUAUGGUCCACCUGCUUCUGCCCUCCUGAGUGCUGGGAUCAAAGGUGUGCACCACUAUGCUUGUAUGCUUGGCUAAUAAAUCUUAAAAAAAAAAAAAAAAAAAAAAAGAUGGAACUCAGUACCACACGCACUAAAAGCCCAAUCACCUCUGCAGGUGCCCAGCAUGUGUGUACAUGCCCAUACCUGAGACAGCUGCAUUCUCAAAUCUGGCAGACAGAGAUGCCGCUAUAGUCCACUGCCAACCUCAUUACAGCCCUGUCUGCUAGGAUGCUAAUGGUCCUAGUUUGCAAAGGCUGAAGUCGCUCCAUGGACUGUACUGACUCAGGCAGCUUUCUACCCUAGUUCCUAUUAACAACAGGCCAGGCUGCCUGGCAGAGGGGCUCUGGUUCCGCUGGCAAAGGUUUCUGCUGGCUCAAGGCCAGACACUCCCUGGUCACUGUGUCUUUAGCUCCUCAGUGAUAACCAAGACAAUAUACACAGACCUAGGAGGUUGUUGGGGAGGGCGGGGUGUUGUGCAGAGUCCCUGAAGCUGGCUCUGUAAGGCCUGAACACUGUCUUCCCACAGCUCUGCUGUGAAGCCUGGUAGUGUCCACAGUGGAUCCCAGAGGCUGUGUGCACAGGAAGAGCAGCAGCAGCCUCAGGAGCAGUGAUGGAAACAAGCAGAAGUGUUCAUGGUGUAUUUCGGUGGUGUAUUGUUUUGACUUUCUGUUUGUUUUCUGGGGACAGGGUUUCCCAGAGCCCAGGAUGACCUCUAAUUUAACACACAGCUGAGAAAGACCUUCAACUCCCGAUCCUCCUGCCUCCACCUCCUGAGCAAUCUCAAGUGCACCAUCAGUGUAAGGUUCCUGAGGUGCUGGGAAUAGAACCCAGGGCUAUGUGUAUGACAGAAGCAUUCUGUCCUUGUUUUAUUUUGAGACAGUCUCAUAAUAUAACCCAGUCUGUCCAGCCUUGAAUUCUUGCUCAUCCUAUUUCAGUCUCUCCAUACUGUGAUGACUCCAUACUGUGAUGACAGGCCCCUUCAUCAAAGCCAUAUCUCCUAAGCCAUGGGGUUACAGAGUGUCUAAGAGGUCCAGUACUAAAUGCUGGCUUAAAGUCAAAGGAGCCAGUUUUUUCACCAUGACAGGCCCAAUAUGAACACUUGCAGUAAUUUAGAUUUAAGCACCUGUAAUGAGACCCCAUAAUUAGAUUAUUUUUAUUCUAUAUGUACAAGGCCUACAUAUAUGACUGAUCACACUGUGCGUGCCUAGCGCUUGCAACACUAGGAGUAUGGGAGCUCCUGGAACUGGAGUCAUAGAUGAUUGUGAGUAAACAUGGGAGUGCUGGGAACACAAUCGAGGUCCACUGAGGAGGCAUGGCUCCAGCUCCCCUCCUGAAGGGUUAAUGACAGCUCAGGGUAUGGAAGUGCAAGGCUCCAGAUGCCCUAGCAUUUCUCCAGCAGGUAGGGGCAGCUCUAAAACGAUACAGUAGAUUCACAGUAGAAAAUGUCCCAACAAUGGAGAAAGUCAACCACUGCCACCAUAGGUGACACAUGGCCCUCAACACUGGGUCAGAGUUGGAAAUCACAGUCUCCCCGAAGCACUAUGGAAAGGCCCGGCAAAGAACAGAACACCUUGGUCUUGAGAAAAUGAACAAAGAUUUAGUUGCAUGUAUAGAACAAUCUAAUCUGUAGUUGCACAAAGACAUUAAUGCCACCUGAACAAUCAUGGUGGAAGACUUCUCAAUGCAUUAUGGGGAGGCCAGGAUACAGGUUGGUGGCCACAGAUAGUAAUAAUUCGUUUUUUCCUUUCUCUCUUUUUUUUGGGAAGGUGUGGUAGGCGACACAGUCUCCUGUAGCCCAGGCUGGCCUUGAACUCAGUUAUGUAGUCAAGGGAUGACACCGAGUUUCGGAUCUUCCUAACUCUGCUCCCAAGUUAGGAUGACAAUUGUGCCUCACCACAUCCUGACAGGGUGCUGGAGGUGGAAACUAGGGCUUCGCAUGCUAGGCAAGUGCUAUAUUAGCCGCAUCAUGGUCCUAGGCCUCAGAAUGGAUCUGGAGCUGUUAGGAUGGCUCCGCAGAUAAAGACACUUGCCUUGGAAGCCUGGUGAACUAAGUUCGACCCCCCCACAUCACCCCCAGAACCUCUGCAUAAAGAGAAGGCAAGAACCCUCCUCAGAGAUGUCCUCCAGCCUCCACGUGCAUGCUAUGGAAAACACAGGCGAGAUAAACAGCUGUAAACCACCAAUCAAAGAAAACACAUGGUGGAACUUGUGGCUCUAGCUGCAUAUAUAGCAUAGGAUGGCCUAGUGGGCCAUCAAUGGGAGAAGAGGCCCUUGGUCUUGUGAAGGUUCUAUGCAAAAGUAUAGGGGAAUGCCAGGGCCAGGAAGCAGGAAUGGAUGGGUUGGGGAUCAGGGGGAGGAGGAGGGGAUAGGGGAUUUUCAGAAGAAACUAAGAAAUUUGAAAUGUAAAUAAAGAAAAUAUCUAAAAAAAAAAAAAAACCAAAACCAAAACCAAAACCAAAACCUCACAGUGUAAGCAUGUUUGGUGCACGCCUUUAAUCCCAGCACUUGGAAGGCAGAGGCAGGUAGAUUUCUGAGUUCAAGGCAAGCCUGGUCUAUACACUGAGUUCCAGGAUCACCAGGGCUAUACAGAGAAACCCUGUCUCGAAAAACCAAACAACCAAACAAAAAUAAAUAAAUAAAUAAAUAAAUAAAUAAAUAUCCUUAUCUUAUUCAAAUGCUGAUUUCUGUCCCCAUAUCUGGUGGCAAUCUGGACAUGGUACUGUUGUCUAUUCUAAGUAUCUCUUGUCUCAAUGUUGUGUAUACAGUUGUUGGUUUAUUCUCUGUUUUCUCAAUAAAAGCUGAUCUGCCAAUGGCUGAGCACUGGAGAGUGUAUGGCUGGACUUCUGACCUCAGCCAGGGGAGGGUAAAGAAAGAGAGGAAUCUCUGUGAUGCUCACCAUAGGAACAUAUUGGAACAUAUAGGAACAUAUUGGAGCAGAGAGCCAGACACAAGAUACAAGUACCUUGGAGACUAUGGCUGGGAGGUCGCCAGAUUAGCUUCAAGGAUUAGAACAGAUUAAUAACUACUUAGCUAUUGUGUCAUAUAGCUUGAUUAAGUACAUCUUAGAGUCUCUGACUAAUUUAUUUGGAAGCCAGGUUGAGUUAAAGAAAAAUAUUAUCACUUCACAAAACUAAAUUCUCAAAAUUUGCUAGACAUGAACAAAGAGGAAACAGAGAACUG
Molecule: long non-coding RNA, 7733 nt
Organism: Mus musculus (house mouse)
Lineage: Eukaryota; Metazoa; Chordata; Mammalia; Rodentia; Muridae
Product: predicted gene, 57796
Exons: 3
Source: RefSeq, a predicted model, not a curated record